RNAcentral lists this transfer RNA (73 nucleotides) under Zootermopsis nevadensis. It matches the Rfam family "tRNA". From Rfam's summary of the family: Transfer RNA (tRNA) molecules are approximately 80 nucleotides in length. Their secondary structure includes four short double-helical elements and three loops (D, anti-codon, and T loops). Further hydrogen bonds mediate the characteristic L-shaped molecular structure. tRNAs have two regions of fundamental functional importance: the anti-codon, which is responsible for specific mRNA codon recognition, and the 3' end, to which the tRNAs corresponding amino acid is attached (by aminoacyl-tRNA synthetases). tRNAs cope with the degeneracy of the genetic code in two manners: having more than one tRNA (with a specific anti-codon) for a particular amino acid; and 'wobble' base-pairing, i.e. permitting non-standard base-pairing at the 3rd anti-codon position. Lineage: Eukaryota; Metazoa; Arthropoda; Insecta; Blattodea; Termopsidae. The record is from Rfam by way of RNAcentral.
GCCACGGUGGUCUAGCGGUCAGAACACUAGCCUUGUAAGCCUGGUGUCCCGGGUUCAAUUCCCGGCAGUGCCC